UACGUAGGGGGCAAGCGUUGUCCGGAAUCAUUGGGCGUAAAGCGCGCGUAGGCGGUUACUCAAGUCGGAUGUGAAAGCCCUCGGCUUAACUGAGGAAGUGCACCCGAAACUGAGUAGCUAGAGUACUAAAGAGGGUCGCGGAAUUCCCGGUGUAGAGGUGAAAUUCGUAGAUAUCGGGAGGAACACCGGUGGCGAAGGCGGCGACCUGGUCCGAUACUGACGCUGAGGCGCGAAAGCGUGGGGAGCAAACAGG
This 253-nucleotide ribosomal RNA is filed under the name uncultured bacterium. RNAcentral's name for it is "partial 16S ribosomal RNA". It matches the Rfam family "Bacterial small subunit ribosomal RNA", at positions 524 to 776 of the family's 1533-position model. The record is from RNAcentral.